UACGUAGGGUGCAGGCGUUAAUCGGAAUUACUGGGCGUAAAGCGUGCGCAGGCGGUUUCUUAAGUCAGAUGUGAAAGCCCCGGGCUUAACCUGGGAACUGCGUUUGAAACUGGGAGACUUGAGUGUGGCAGAGGGGGGUGGAAUUCAUGGUGUAGCAGUGAAAUGCGUAGAGAUCAUGAGGAAGACCAGUGGCGAAGGCGGGUCUCUGGACAGUUCCUGACACUGAGGCACGAAGGCCAGGGGAGCAAACGGG
Molecule: ribosomal RNA, 253 nt
Filed under: uncultured bacterium
Lineage: Bacteria
Description: partial 16S ribosomal RNA
Rfam family: Bacterial small subunit ribosomal RNA
Source: RNAcentral